GGGUUGUGAGGUUAAGCGACUAAGCGUACACGGUGGAUGCCCUGGCAGUCAGAGGCGAUGAAGGACGUGCUAAUCUGCGAAAAGCGUCGGUAAGGUGAUAUGAACCGUUAUAGCCGGCGAUGUCCGAAUGGGGAAACCCAGUGCAAUUCGUUGCACUAUCGUUAACUGAAUACAUAGGUUAACGAGGCGAACCGGGGGAACUGAAACAUCUAAGUACCCCGAGGAAAAGAAAUCAACCGAGAUUCCCCCAGUAGCGGCGAGCGAACGGGGAGCAGCCCAGAGUCUGAAUCAGCUUGUGUGUUAGUGGAACGGUCUGGAAAGUCCGACGGUACAGGGUGAUAGUCCCGUACACCAAAAUGCACAGGUUGUGAACUCGAAGAGUAGGGCGGGACACGUGGUAUCCUGUCUGAAUAUGGGGGGACCAUCCUCCAAGGCUAAAUACUCCUGACUGACCGAUAGUGAACCAGUACCGUGAGGGAAAGGCGAAAAGAACCCCGGCGAGGGGAGUGAAAAAGAACCUGAAACCGUGUACGUACAAGCAGUGGGAGCCUCUUUAUGGGGUGACUGCGUACCUUUUGUAUAAUGGGUCAGCGACUUAUAUUCUGUAGCAAGGUUAACCGUAUAGGGGAGCCGCAGGGAAACCGAGUCUUAACUGGGCGUUAAGUUGCAGGGUAUAGACCCGAAACCCGGUGAUCUAGCCAUGGGCAGGUUGAAGGUUGGGUAACACUAACUGGAGGACCGAACCGACUAAUGUUGAAAAAUUAGCGGAUGACUUGUGGCUGGGGGUGAAAGGCCAAUCAAACCGGGAGAUAGCUGGUUCUCCCCGAAAGCUAUUUAGGUAGCGCCUCGUGAAUUCAUCUUCGGGGGUAGAGCACUGUUUCGGCUAGGGGGUCAUCCCGACUUACCAACCCGAUGCAAACUACGAAUACCGAAGAAUGUUAUCACGGGAGACACACGGCGGGUGCUAACGUCCGUCGUGAAGAGGGAAACAACCCAGACCGCCAGCUAAGGUCCCAAAGUCAUGGUUAAGUGGGAAACGAUGUGGGAAGGCACAGACAGCCAGGAUGUUGGCUUAGAAGCAGCCAUCAUUUAAAGAAAGCGUAAUAGCUCACUGGUCGAGUCGGCCUGCGCGGAAGAUGUAACGGGGCUAAACCAUGCACCGAAGCUGCGGCAGCGACACUAUGUGUUGUUGGGUAGGGGAGCGUUCUGUAAGCCUGCGAAGGUGACCUGUGAGGGUUGCUGGAGGUAUCAGAAGUGCGAAUGCUGACAUAAGUAACGAUAAAGCGGGUGAAAAGCCCGCUCGCCGGAAGACCAAGGGUUCCUGUCCAACGUUAAUCGGGGCAGGGUGAGUCGACCCCUAAGGCGAGGCCGAAAGGCGUAGUCGAUGGGAAACAGGUUAAUAUUCCUGUACUUGGUGUUACUGCGAAGGGGGGACGGAGAAGGCUAUGUUAGCCGGGCGACGGUUGUCCCGGUUUAAGCAUGUAGGCGGAGGUUCCAGGUAAAUCCGGUACCUUUUAACGCUGAGGUGUGAUGACGAGGCACUACGGUGCUGAAGUAACAAAUGCCCUGCUUCCAGGAAAAGCCUCUAAGCAUCAGGUAACAUUAAAUCGUACCCCAAACCGACACAGGUGGUCAGGUAGAGAAUACCAAGGCGCUUGAGAGAACUCGGGUGAAGGAACUAGGCAAAAUGGUGCCGUAACUUCGGGAGAAGGCACGCUGAUAGGUAGGUGAAGCCCCUGCGGGUGGAGCUGAAAUCAGUCGAAGAUACCAGCUGGCUGCAACUGUUUAUUAAAAACACAGCACUGUGCAAACACGAAAGUGGACGUAUACGGUGUGACGCCUGCCCGGUGCCGGAAGGUUAAUUGAUGGGGUUAUCCGUAAGGAGAAGCUCUUGAUCGAAGCCCCGGUAAACGGCGGCCGUAACUAUAACGGUCCUAAGGUAGCGAAAUUCCUUGUCGGGUAAGUUCCGACCUGCACGAAUGGCGUAAUGAUGGCCAGGCUGUCUCCACCCGAGACUCAGUGAAAUUGAACUCGCUGUGAAGAUGCAGUGUACCCGCGGCAAGACGGAAAGACCCCGUGAACCUUUACUAUAGCUUGACACUGAACAUUGAGCCUUGAUGUGUAGGAUAGGUGGGAGGCUUUGAAGCGUGGACGCCAGUCUGCGUGGAGCCAACCUUGAAAUACCACCCUUUAAUGUUUGAUGUUCUAACGUAGACCCCUAAUCGGGGUUGCGGACAGUGUCUGGUGGGUAGUUUGACUGGGGCGGUCUCCUCCCAAAGAGUAACGGAGGAGCACGAAGGUUAGCUAAUCCUGGUCGGACAUCAGGAGGUUAGUGCAAUGGCAUAAGCUAGCUUGACUGCGAGCGUGACGGCGCGAGCAGGUGCGAAAGCAGGUCAUAGUGAUCCGGUGGUUCUGAAUGGAAGGGCCAUCGCUCAACGGAUAAAAGGUACUCCGGGGAUAACAGGCUGAUACCGCCCAAGAGUUCAUAUCGACGGCGGUGUUUGGCACCUCGAUGUCGGCUCAUCACAUCCUGGGGCUGAAGUAGGUCCCAAGGGUAUGGCUGUUCGCCAUUUAAAGUGGUACGCGAGCUGGGUUUAGAACGUCGUGAGACAGUUCGGUCCCUAUCUGCCGUGGGCGCUGGAGAAUUGAGGGGGGCUGCUCCUAGUACGAGAGGACCGGAGUGGACGCAUCACUGGUGUUCGGGUUGUCAUGCCAAUGGCAUUGCCCGGUAGCUAAAUGCGGAAGAGAUAAGUGCUGAAAGCAUCUAAGCACGAAACUUGCCCCGAGAUGAGUUCUCCCUGAGACUUUAAGUCUCCUGAAGGAACGUUGAAGACGACGACGUUGAUAGGCCGGGUGUGUAAGCGCAGCGAUGCGUUGAGCUAACCGGUACUAAUGAACCGUGAGGCUUAACCUUACAACGCCGAAG
Molecule: ribosomal RNA, 2926 nt
Filed under: Klebsiella sp. A-Nf5
Lineage: Bacteria; Pseudomonadati; Pseudomonadota; Gammaproteobacteria; Enterobacterales; Enterobacteriaceae
Description: bacterial LSU rRNA
Rfam family: Bacterial large subunit ribosomal RNA
Source: RNAcentral